RNAcentral lists this ribosomal RNA (253 nucleotides) under uncultured bacterium. RNAcentral's name for it is "partial 16S ribosomal RNA". It matches the Rfam family "Bacterial small subunit ribosomal RNA", at positions 524 to 776 of the family's 1533-position model. The record is from RNAcentral.
UACGUAGGGAGCAAGCGUUGUCCGGAAUCAUUGGGCGUAAAGCGCGCGUAGGCGGCCUCAUAAGUCCGUUGUGAAAGUCAAAGGCUCAACCUUUGAAAGCCGAUGGAUACUGUGAGGCUAGAGUCCGGAAGAGGCGAGUGGAAUUCCUGGUGUAGCGGUGGAAUGCGCAGAUAUCAGGAGGAACACCGGUGGCGAAGGCGGGUCUCUGGGCAGUAACUGACGCUGAGGAGCGAAAGCGUGGGGAGCGAACAGG